Molecule: ribosomal RNA, 1357 nt
Filed under: Triticum aestivum (bread wheat)
Lineage: Eukaryota; Viridiplantae; Streptophyta; Magnoliopsida; Poales; Poaceae
Description: partial small subunit ribosomal RNA
Source: RNAcentral
GGAUGGGGGGUGGGGUGGGGUGGUAGAGGGCGCUGUGCGCUUUUGUGGUGGUCGGCGCGGCGCCGCCCCUUAAACGGGCCGGCACUACCUCAGCCUCCCCGUCCUGUCCGGCGGCCCGCUCGCCCUGCGCGUGCGCGUGCGGCCGCCCCACCGACUCGGCCCCCGCUACCGCUACCACGGCCACGGCCACGCGCCCCCCAUGUACCACCACGGGUUCGGCCUCGGCCACCUCGAGAAGCCCCGGCCGCCCCCGCCCUACCACCACGCGUUCGGCGGCGGGUCCUUGGCCCUGGCCGUGUGGUUCCAGCUCCCGGCGCCGGCGGCCUAGGCGUACGGCCGGCGGACGCGGCGGUCCUAGAAGGUCGAGUGGGCGCUCGAUCCCGUGUUCAGCCUGCCGCUCUGGCACGCGACCGACGACGUCGUCAGGCUCGGCCGGUAUCAGCGGCGGUGCCCCUGGCCGUGGCACGGGCGGUAGCGGUGGUGGCAGCUGCCGCACGAGGCCUAGGGGUGGGUCAGGAGGAGGAGGCGGAGGAGGCGGCAGCAGCUGCUGCUCCGGAGGCGGUUCGCGGCGGCGUUCGACGUCGGGUGCGCGCGGCGGCCGGGCGAGGGGUGGCACGGCGGGUGGCGGCGGAUGAUGAGGCAGGAGCGGCUGGGGGAGGACGUCCCGCCGCGGCCCCCGCGCCGGUAAAGGCAGCGGUCGCCGGAGCGAGGGUAGCCGCCGGUCGUCCCGGAGCAGGGGCAGAAGCGGCACGGCAGGCGGCGACGCCGGCGGCCUCCGUUGGUGUACUAGGGCGUCCGGUGGCGGCACACCUACCAGGGCGUCGGCCGGCCGCGGGGGUUGGUCGGGUGGGUCAUGACCCGAAAGGUCAGGCGCGGUGUCGAGUAGUUGGAGCGGCCGCGCGUCUGGUACGGCCGACCUCGACAGAAGGGGUUGCAACGGCGGCUGAUGGUAGUUGUCGCCGUCAGACGGAGAUGGCACCAGGUCUUGUGGUUGAGCCUGGUGGUCGUCAAGUCGGUGGUAGAGUGGCCGCGGCUCAGCGUGCUCGUCGUCGCGGCACUGGUGGUGGGCCUCCUCCUGCUGCGGCUACUGCUGCUGCUCGGUCAGAGGCUGAGGUCGGGUCUUCUGAUUGCUUCGUCUCGUUUCGGUGCUUUCGUGAGGUGACGUGCGUGACGUCGGUUUUCAGUUAGGUUUCUUCUUUGGAAUCCAAGAUAAGAUCACUUUAUAAAUAAGAGGCUAAUACAUAAUCAGUCAUUACUAUGGUGACAACGGGGAUGCCUCACAAAAAAACCAUGGUACUGAUGACAACCAACAGGGAUUAAUAAGAACUGGAAGUUAGUUAUUCUUGUGCUUUGUACC